Molecule: small nuclear RNA, 107 nt
Filed under: Tursiops truncatus (common bottlenose dolphin)
Lineage: Eukaryota; Metazoa; Chordata; Mammalia; Artiodactyla; Delphinidae
Also listed under: 1 other name
Source: RNAcentral
GUGCUUGCUUUGGCAGCACAUAUACUAAAAUUGGAACCAUACAGAGAAGAUUAGCGUGACCCUUGUGCAAGGAUGGCACACAAAUUCGUGAAGCGUUCCAUGUUUUU